AGUGAACGCUGGCGGUAGGCCUAACACAUGCAAGUCGAACGGCCGCACAGUAAGGGCUUGCUCUUACGGGUGGCGAGUGGCGGACGGGUGAGGAAUACAUCGGAAUCUACUUUUUCGUGGGGGAUAACGUAGGGAAACUUCCGCUAAUACCUCAUACGACCUACGGGUGAAAUCAGGGGAUCUUCGGACCUUGCGCGAUUGAAUUAGCCGAUGUCGGAUUAGCUAGUUGGCUGGGUAAAGGCCCACCAAGGCGACGAUCCGUAGCUGGUCUGAGAGGAUGAUCAGCCACACUGGAACUGAGACACGGUCCAGACUCCUACGGGAGGCAGCAGUGGGGAAUAUUGGACAAUGGGCGCAAGCCUGAUCCAGCCAUACCGCGUGGGUGAAGAAGGCCUUCGGGUUGUAAAGCCCUUUUGUUGGGAAAGAAAAGCAGCAGGUUAAUACCCCGCUGUUCUGACGGUACCCAAAGAAUAAGCACCGGCUAACUUCGUG
Molecule: ribosomal RNA, 492 nt
Filed under: uncultured bacterium
Lineage: Bacteria
Description: partial 16S ribosomal RNA
Rfam family: Bacterial small subunit ribosomal RNA
Source: RNAcentral